This 253-nucleotide ribosomal RNA is filed under the name uncultured bacterium. RNAcentral describes it as "partial 16S ribosomal RNA". It matches the Rfam family "Bacterial small subunit ribosomal RNA", at positions 524 to 776 of the family's 1533-position model. The record is from RNAcentral.
UACGUAGGGUGCGAGCGUUAAUCGGAAUUACUGGGCGUAAAGCGUGCGCAGGCGGUGAUGUAAGACAGAUGUGAAAUCCCCGGGCUCAACCUGGGACCAGCAUUUGUGACUGCAUCGCUAGGGUACGGCAGAGGGGGAUGGAAUUCCGCGUGUAGCAGUGAAAUGCGUAGAUAUGCGGCGGAACACCGAUGGCGAAGGCAAUCCCAUGGGCCUGUACUGACGCUCAUGCACGAAAGCGUGGGGAGCAAACAGG